This 301-nucleotide ribosomal RNA is filed under the name uncultured bacterium. Its description in RNAcentral is "partial 16S ribosomal RNA". It matches the Rfam family "Bacterial small subunit ribosomal RNA", at positions 509 to 808 of the family's 1533-position model. The record is from RNAcentral.
CAGCCGCGCGGUAAUACGUAGGUGGCAAGCGUUGUCCGGAAUUAUUGGGCGUAAAGGGCUCGCAGGCGGUUUCUUAAGUCUGAUGUGAAAGCCCCCGGCUCAACCGGGGAGGGUCAUUGGAAACUGGGAAACUUGAGUGCAGAAGAGGAGAGUGGAAUUCCACGUGUAGCGGUGAAAUGCGUAGAGAUGUGGAGGAACACCAGUGGCGAAGGCGACUCUCUGGUCUGUAACUGACGCUGAGGAGCGAAAGCGUGGGGAGCGAACAGGAUUAGAUACCCCUGUAGUCCCUGUCUCUUAUACC